GGAAGUGUUGAGAAUAGGCUCGCUGAGCGCAAGCUCCGCCCGUGCCACCGCCCGUGCUCCUCGUUAGCAAGCAUCCGCUUCCGGUUCUGAAGCCGAAUUGGCUGGGAGCCGAGCCGCCGCUGAAGGAGGCCUGUUUGCCGGGCUUUGCCUGAAAUGGACAGCCGGAUUCCUUAUGAUGACUACCCAGUGGUGUUCCUGCCUGCCUAUGAGAAUCCUCCAGCAUGGAUUCCUCCUCAUGAGAGAGUGUACCACCCAGACUACAACAAUGAGUUGACCCAGUUUCUACCACGAAUUGUCACACUGAAGAAGCCUCCUGGUGCUCAGUUGGGAUUUAACAUCCGAGGAGGAAAGGCCUCCCAGCUAGGAAUCUUCAUAUCCAAGGUGAUUCCAGACUCUGAUGCCCAUCGAGCAGGCCUUCAAGAAGGGGACCAGGUUCUAGCCGUUAACGAUGUGGAUUUCCAAGACAUUGAGCACAGCAAAGCUGUUGAAAUCCUGAAGACAGCACGAGAAAUCAGCAUGCGCGUGCGCUUCUUUCCCUACAAUUAUCAUCGCCAAAAAGAGAGGACUGUGCACUAAAGACUUGCAGCUCACAACUCUCCAUGUGGAAUCUGCCAGGGCAAGCUGGCUAGCCCUCCGAGAAGCCAGUCAUGACAUUCUACUCUCAGCACCUUCCUGGCUUAGUGAAUAGGGAGGAUGGGGAGACAGCAUACCAGCUGUGUUAUAUAUAAACUGUAUUGUAGUGGGAAUUCCCUAGUUUGCUAGGAGGUGCUACUACAAUGAAAGCCCAAAAUUUGACUUAACUAAAAUCCUACGUCGAGCCAUCAAGAUGGCUCUGAAAGGAUGCCUUCUUCCAAGCCUGACAAUCUGAGUUUGAGCUCCAGGACCCACAUGAUGGAAGGAGAGAACCGAUUCACAGAGUUGUCUGUUGUCCUCUAGCACGCAAGCACACACAAGGAUCCUGGGGAGCUGAACUGAGUCUCUUAAUUCCUUCUGGAAAAGUGAUUCUUUUGGUUUGAGGGUCAACCUAGGAAUCUAUCUUAUCUAAUUAUGUAUUUAUUUUGGUUUUUCAGGACAGGGUUUCCCUGUGUAGCCUUGGCUGUCCUGUACUCACUUUGUAGACCAGGCUGGCCUCAAAAUCACAGUGAUCUGCCUCUGCCUCCCGAGUGCUGGAAUCAAAGGCAUGCACCACUCCACUGUACCUGGCUGAAUUUACCUUAUUAAAUUAGCAAGAGAAAAUAAAUU
RNA transcript from Meriones unguiculatus (Mongolian gerbil), 1242 nucleotides. It is a transcript of the gene named PDZ domain containing 11, with no coding region annotated. The record is from RefSeq and is a predicted model, not a curated record. Lineage: Eukaryota; Metazoa; Chordata; Mammalia; Rodentia; Muridae. The transcript has 8 exons.